RNAcentral lists this RNase P RNA (350 nucleotides) under Sulfobacillus benefaciens. Its description in RNAcentral is "RNase P RNA component class A". It matches the Rfam family "Bacterial RNase P class A". From Rfam's summary of the family: Ribonuclease P (RNase P) is a ubiquitous endoribonuclease, found in archaea, bacteria and eukarya as well as chloroplasts and mitochondria. Its best characterised activity is the generation of mature 5'-ends of tRNAs by cleaving the 5'-leader elements of precursor-tRNAs. The record is from RNAcentral. Lineage: Bacteria; Bacillati; Bacillota; Clostridia; Eubacteriales; Clostridiales Family XVII. Incertae Sedis.
CGAGUCGGCUAAACGAUCGCGGGCAUAGUGCCGCAAGGCCGUGCCUGAGGAAAGUCCGAGCUGCAUAGAGCAGAGUGCUGGAUAACGUCCAGUGGGGGAAACCCUAAGGAAAGUGCCACAGAAAACAAACCGCCCUGUACUAAUGGGGUAAGGAUGAAACGGUGCGGUAAGAGCGCACCAGAGCCCAGGUGACUGGAGCUCUUGGUAAACCCCACUCGCAGCAAGACCUAAUAGGGGAAGGAUGACGCUGCUCGCUGACUUCCCGGGUUGGUCGCUUGAGGCAUUAGGUAACUAGUGUCCCAGAUAAAUGAUCGUUCACGACAGAACUCGGCUUAUGGCUGACUCGCAUC